UUUGAUAGCAGCAGUAGUAACAUCGUCAAUAGAUCGGUAUCGCUAUUAGUAAUACGAUUAGCGGCCUCCGUCCCGUAUGCAUCCGAUAGAGUUGUUCCAUACCAGUAUAAUGCCACUAUGUUGGAGAAUGGUCAAGAGGUUUUGUUGCCUAUGACCAAUUCUGUUGUGAACAUUGCCGAUAUAGCAAAGGUGACCCGUAGCGGUCGUGUAUUUGGACCUGUCUUUCUAAAAGAGGUGAUAGAAGGUGACCCGUAACAAAUCUGGUUAGUGCUCCAAAGUGUC
This 282-nucleotide long non-coding RNA is filed under the name Lathyrus oleraceus (garden pea). Its description in RNAcentral is "Pisum sativum (pea) long non-coding RNA (PSAT_LNC013598)". Lineage: Eukaryota; Viridiplantae; Streptophyta; Magnoliopsida; Fabales; Fabaceae. The record is from RNAcentral.